Molecule: long non-coding RNA, 2456 nt
Filed under: Triticum aestivum (bread wheat)
Lineage: Eukaryota; Viridiplantae; Streptophyta; Magnoliopsida; Poales; Poaceae
Description: long non-coding RNA (TAES_LNC004429)
Source: RNAcentral
UCCUAUUGUUCAUAUUUAUAUUACAAAUAUUAGCAUGUCUUCCAAGUAUCUACAAAUAAGGUGCAUAACCAACCCAUUGAAAAUGAUUAAACAUUCAUUAUGGACUCAAGUUUGGAAAGAAAACAAAAAAAUUGCUGAUAAACAACUCCAUGUUUUUACAUAAAUUCCUAGCACUUCAUACUAUAGUAAAAAAAAAGGACGGGUGCGGCAACACGUGCCAGCAAUGAUCUAGUAGAAGAAAUAUAUCACAUCCAACAAGGAGUCUCACCCGUCACGCAGCAACCCACAAGUCAGUUCAGCACGCCGGCAAGGAAGAGGAGGUCUGAUGGGCAGCCACCAUGGAUGGGAGAGCCCGCGGCUGCCGUAGUGCCGUGCAGGGCAGGGCUAGAGCAAGGGAUGGUAGCAGUUAUCUCCAUUUACACAGCAGCGUGUCCUAAAAUGGGAGUGCCCCUCUCCCCCUCUUCUCUUCUUCCUCGACCUCCGACGCUCGCUCACGAGUUGGGCUUCACAGUGGCAAUGGAUCUGUUAGAAGCAUGCACGGUAAAGGAGAUUAGCAAGCACAGAAAGAAUGAGUAGGGCUCACGGAAAAAAGCAGAAGGAGGUGAGCCGACACCCGGCAGUAACGGACCUCCACCAUGAUCGAUAGGAAGGAAGAACGUGGGGCGGCGCCGCCGUGUCGUCGCUGCCUCUUCGGAUCACCCGGGUACUGGGGGGACAGCGACCUCGACCGAGCGUUAGAUGGGCUAGCCCAUGCAGAGGGGCAGUAACAGGCUCCUUGUAGCAGACCCAAUCAACGAGGUGCCUGCGUUUUUGCUACGGGAGUAGUAGCCCAGCCGAGUGUGCAGGGUUGUGCGGGAUUAGAAACCUACAUCUGACGGCCAGCAGAGUCCAUAGGCAAGAUCGAACGGCCAGAAAUCAUGAAUGCGUGAGAGGCUUCCUAGAGUGCACAGUUAUAAUGUCUUUAAAUGCAAAGGCAUGAGAUUGAGUACAUGAGUGUUGUUUGCAGAUAUUGUUAAAGUUUGACUGCUCAAAUAUAUGAAUCUUUUGUACGGUGGAAGUUGCAUGUGUUGAAUUAUUGGCGUCUUCUUAUAUUUUUAUCAAUAUUGCAAUAUAGAAAAAAGUACUUGCCUAGUCAUACAUGAUUGAGAAGAACGGACGAAUACAGAAAACAUAGUCAUGUAUUGUAUGCCCCCAUACCUUACAUGAUUGACGAUCUGGCCAUCGACUGGUGCUAGAAGAUCUCCCACUCUUAGAGCCUGCCAAGGCUCUGCUUGUGGCUCUCAAAGACCUCAAAUAGCUCUGGCUGGUAUUCGCCACCUUGCUCAUCGUUGCCGAAGUCAACGACAUCGUCUCUCGAAGCAUGUGGUUCAAGCGUGUCAAUUUACAACAUCCCUGGAUUGAUUAAAUCACUACUGAAGAACAUCAGGUGGCAUGAAACAAUUAUGGUCAUCCUCAGAGAAAAUAUACGCAAGCGGCAAUGAAAGUUGUACAUACCUUUAAUUCACAACGACCUUGCUGGCAAUGUCGGUGAUUUUCAGGUUCUUUGGAGGUCCCACGUGGGCUCAUGGUCUCAACAUGCGCGCCAACGGUUUGGUUAUGUACCCUAUAAAGCUGUGCGCGUGCUCUGAUGCUAUGUCGGCAUUCUCCUCGAUGCAAAUCAAACAAUUCAAGUGAUAUAUUUUCUUGUACAUGUGUGUAAUUAAUCAAUCUAAGGACUAAAUCUUGUUGUAGCCUUGCAAGUGGAGAUGUGUCAAAUCCUAGAAAAUCAUCAAGUUACGAUUGAGCAAGUCUAGCCGAGUAGAAGACACAAAAAAUGCAUUUACUAUGCUUCCUCUUUCAACUAAAAGGGCGACUUGACUCAAUCAAAUGUCCAUACAUGCUAAUUUAAAGGCUUAAAAACUCUCUAUUCUACUAAAGUUCAUAAGAAUUAUGAAGAAACAUAUAGGAUAAAGAUGUAUAUCUAGAAGGGGAUUGCAGCCUUUCUAGUGUGAAGCUCAGAUCUAAAACCACUCUCAGCUUAGACAUAUCUUAUUUAUAGUGUUCUGAUCCAAAAGAGGAAAACAUGAUCAAUUAAUUUCCAAAAGCUGACCAUAUAAGCAAGGCUAAAAGGAGCCCAUUAGUACUGCAAGGUUGAUCUAAUCACUAUAUCAACUACUAAUACAAAUUUCGAACAAUAAAAGCAACCAUUAUGUGGUAGAAACGGACAAUAAUAUUUGAUCCUUGAAUGAUUUGCAGACUCGUAUUAUAGUGUCAAAUACAGGUUAUAGGAUAUCCCUCCAUUUAAAACAUUUCCCAAUAAACAUUUAGUUAUCUUCUCUAGGCUCUAAAAUAUCAAUAUGAACUAAAUGGCUUAAGCUGCAGGGAGGAGGAAGCCUACUUGUCUUUAAUCUAGGGAAAAAUACAUACCUAGUUGACAGUAUUGUUGAUCAGUUAUCUAGCAACCCUAUAGUCAUAAU